This 207-nucleotide ribosomal RNA is filed under the name uncultured Roseomonas sp. Its description in RNAcentral is "partial 16S ribosomal RNA". It matches the Rfam family "Bacterial small subunit ribosomal RNA", at positions 568 to 774 of the family's 1533-position model. Lineage: Bacteria; Pseudomonadati; Pseudomonadota; Alphaproteobacteria; Acetobacterales; Roseomonadaceae. The record is from RNAcentral.
CGCGUAGGCGGUCAUUUUAGUCAGGCGUGAAAUUCCCGGGCUUAACCUGGGGACUGCGCUUGAUACUGGGUGACUUGAGGGUGGAAGAGGGUCGUGGAAUUCCCAGUGUAGAGGUGAAAUUCGUAGAUAUUGGGAAGAACACCGGUGGCGAAGGCGGCGACCUGGUCCAUUACUGACGCUGAGGCGCGACAGCGUGGGGAGCAAACA